RNAcentral lists this ribosomal RNA (994 nucleotides) under uncultured Corynebacterium sp. RNAcentral describes it as "bacterial SSU rRNA". It matches the Rfam family "Bacterial small subunit ribosomal RNA", at positions 505 to 1498 of the family's 1533-position model. Lineage: Bacteria; Bacillati; Actinomycetota; Actinomycetes; Mycobacteriales; Corynebacteriaceae. The record is from RNAcentral.
GUGCCAGCAGCCGCGGUAAUACGUAGGGUGCGAGCGUUGUCCGGAAUUACUGGGCGUAAAGAGCUCGUAGGUGGUUUGUCGCGUCGUCUGUGAAAUUCCGGGGCUUAACUCCGGGCGUGCAGGCGAUACGGGCUGACUUGAGUGCUGUAGGGGAGACUGGAAUUCCUGGUGUAGCGGUGAAAUGCGCAGAUAUCAGGAGGAACACCGAUGGCGAAGGCAGGUCUCUGGGCAGUAACUGACGCUGAGGAGCGAAAGCAUGGGUAGCGAACAGGAUUAGAUACCCUGGUAGUCCAUGCCGUAAACGGUGGGCGCUAGGUGUGGGGGUUUUAUUUACGAUUCCCGUGCCGUAGCUAACGCAUUAAGCGCCCCGCCUGGGGAGUACGGCCGCAAGGCUAAAACUCAAAGGAAUUGACGGGGGCCCGCACAAGCGGCGGAGCAUGUGGAUUAAUUCGAUGCAACGCGAAGAACCUUACCUGGGCUUGACAUACACCGGAUUGGGCUAGAGAUAGUCUUUCCCUUUGUGGCUGGUGUACAGGUGGUGCAUGGUUGUCGUCAGCUCGUGUCGUGAGAUGUUGGGUUAAGUCCCGCAACGAGCGCAACCCUUGUCUUAUGUUGCCAGCAUUUGGUUGGGGACUCAUGAGAGACUGCCGGGGUCAACUCGGAGGAAGGUGGGGAUGACGUCAAAUCAUCAUGCCCCUUAUGUCCAGGGCUUCACACAUGCUACAAUGGUCGGUACAACGCGCAGCGACACUGUGAGGUGGAGCGAAUCGCUGAAAGCCGGCCUUAGUUCGGAUUGGGGUCUGCAACUCGACCCCAUGAAGUCGGAGUCGCUAGUAAUCGCAGAUCAGCAAUGCUGCGGUGAAUACGUUCCCGGGCCUUGUACACACCGCCCGUCACGUCAUGAAAGUUGGUAACACCCGAAGCCGGUGGCCCAAACUUGUUAGGGAGCCGUCGAAGGUGGGAUCGGCGAUUGGGACGAAGUCGUAACAAGGUA